CGUAGGUGAACCUGCGGAAGGAUC
RNAcentral lists this non-coding RNA (24 nucleotides) under Drosophila erecta. Lineage: Eukaryota; Metazoa; Arthropoda; Insecta; Diptera; Drosophilidae. The record is from RNAcentral. RNAcentral also lists the same sequence under 7 other names.